Paramuricea clavata is the source of this 320-nucleotide non-coding RNA. The record is from the annotation of a GenBank genome assembly. Lineage: Eukaryota; Metazoa; Cnidaria; Anthozoa; Malacalcyonacea; Plexauridae.
GAAGUAUUUGCAGUAUAUUCUCGUAGUUUUUGAUUUUUUCAUAUUUUUGUAUCUUUGACCACUGGUUCAAAUGUGUGCAAGUCGUACACAUUAUAUUCUCGUCCUCAAAAGACAGAAAACCUCGAAAUACAUCCGCAAAGACGAUAUUUGAAGCCGCAACUACAGGUAAAAUAUUUCUCAGUUCAUAACUUCACAUGUGCACUGAGUCACACUCGAGCAAAUUUUCUACAAAAAUUGUUGGGUUUAACUGUGGUACAAUGUAUUAUAUUUUAGCCACAAGUAUGUAAAGGUCUCUAAAGCCUCGUUUCAUUUAAAUCGUG